UAGGGAAUCUUCGGCAAUGGGGGCAACCCUGACCGAGCAACGCCGCGUGAGUGAAGAAGGUUUUCGGAUCGUAAAGCUCUGUUGUAAGAGAAGAACGUGUGUGAGAGUGGAAAGUUCACACAGUGACGGUAACUUACCAGAAAGGGACGGCUAACUACGUGCCAGCAGCCGCGGUAAUACGUAGGUCCCGAGCGUUGUCCGGAUUUAUUGGGCGUAAAGCGAGCGCAGGCGGUUUAAUAAGUCUGAAGUUAAAGGCAGUGGCUUAACCAUUGUUCGCUUUGGAAACUGUUAAACUUGAGUGCAGAAGGGGAGAGUGGAAUUCCAUGUGUAGCGGUGAAAUGCGUAGAUAUAUGGGGGAACACCGGUGGCGAAAGCGGCUCUCUGGUCUGUAGCUGACGCUGAGGCUCGAAAGCGUGGGGAGCAAACAGG
This 429-nucleotide ribosomal RNA is filed under the name bacterium. RNAcentral describes it as "partial 16S ribosomal RNA". It matches the Rfam family "Bacterial small subunit ribosomal RNA", at positions 355 to 776 of the family's 1533-position model. The record is from RNAcentral.